CAAGCGAGAGACACCAUCUUAAAACGUCAUUGUCGUUAGUUGAUCAUCAUGAAUCGAUUCAUCGUCCUUAUGUUGGUAUUGUGUGCAUUCACCCUUACACAGAGUGCAGGACCCAAAUUCCGCGAACAUGGGAAACGAUCACAUGAAGAGAAGAAGGAUUUGGGAUUAAAUAGGCGAAACGUGUGCUCCCCAGAAUGUCCAAGUGAACAAACCUGUUUCAUGAAUGGAAAAUGCUUGUAAUUUUUUAGUGAUACAGUCCAAAUCACAAAUGACAUCCCGUAAAUCGCGUCAUUGGUGCGUCAUUGACGCGCUACCCGGCGCGCAGGUCGUUCUCAAGUUGCGCGAAACAAACAUGGAGAGAUUAGCGCGUCACUGGUGCAUCAUUGGUGCGCGCACUGACGCGAAGCAGGACGGAGGUCAAUUGUGA
Molecule: long non-coding RNA, 427 nt
Organism: Lineus longissimus
Lineage: Eukaryota; Metazoa; Nemertea; Pilidiophora; Heteronemertea; Lineidae
Exons: 4
Source: RefSeq, a predicted model, not a curated record